This 253-nucleotide ribosomal RNA is filed under the name uncultured bacterium. RNAcentral describes it as "partial 16S ribosomal RNA". It matches the Rfam family "Bacterial small subunit ribosomal RNA", at positions 524 to 776 of the family's 1533-position model. The record is from RNAcentral.
UACGUAGGGUGCAAGCGUUGUCCGGAAUUAUUGGGCGUAAAGAGCUCGUAGGCGGUCUGUCGCGUCUGCUGUGAAAACUCGGGGCUUAACCCCGGGCCUGCAGUGGGUACGGGCAGACUAGAGUGCGGUAGGGGAGACUGGAAUUCCUGGUGUAGCGGUGAAAUGCGUAGAUAUCAGGAGGAACACCGGUGGCGAAGGCGGAUCUCUGGGCCGAUACUGACGCUGAGGAGCGAAAGCGUGGGGAGCGAACAGG